AGCGAACGCUGGCGGCAGGCCUAACACAUGCAAGUCGAACGAACUCUUCGGAGUUAGUGGCGGACGGGUGAGUAACACGUGGGAACGUGCCUUUUGGUUCGGAAUAACUCAGGGAAACUUGUGCUAAUACCGAAUGUGCCCUUCGGGGGAAAGAUUUAUCGCCAUUAGAGCGGCCCGCGUCUGAUUAGCUAGUUGGUGAGGUAACGGCUCACCAAGGCGACGAUCAGUAGCUGGUCUGAGAGGAUGACCAGCCACACUGGGACUGAGACCCGGCCCAGACUCCUACGGGAGGCAGCAGUGGGGAAUCUUGCGCAAUGGGAGAAAGCCUGACGCAGCCAUGCCGCGUGAAUGAUGAAGGUCCUAGGAUUGUAAAAUUCUUUCACCGGGGACGAUAAUGACGGUACCCGGAGAAGAAGCCCCGGCUAACUUCGUG
Molecule: ribosomal RNA, 433 nt
Filed under: uncultured bacterium
Lineage: Bacteria
Description: partial 16S ribosomal RNA
Rfam family: Bacterial small subunit ribosomal RNA
Source: RNAcentral